Molecule: long non-coding RNA, 538 nt
Organism: Ailuropoda melanoleuca (giant panda)
Lineage: Eukaryota; Metazoa; Chordata; Mammalia; Carnivora; Ursidae
Exons: 2
Source: RefSeq, a predicted model, not a curated record
CAGAAUUAACUGGAAUUUAUUUGCUUUUUUUUUUAACAGACUUCUGUUGAGUACCUACCAUAGGUCCGAUACCAUGCUAGAGAUACAAGGACUGUCGAGACAUGGUCCUUGUCCAUACAGGUUUUGCAUCAUUAAAAACUGCUUGAAACAGAGCAAGAGAUGAGAGCAAGAGUCCUUUAUCACCUCAACCGGAGUAAUAAAAAUAUAUAACUCCAUAAACUCAUGAAAGGAUGCUCACCAUUGUUAGUCAUCGGGGAGAUGAAAAGUAAAACCACAGUGAGAUACCACUGCACACCCACCAGAAUGGCUCAACUAUAAAAGCCGACAAUGCCGAGUGUUGCCAAGGAUGUGGAGUAACUGGAACUCUAAUGUAUGGUUAAUGGAAAUAUACAACGUACAGCCACUUUAGAAUUUCAUAUCCCUUGGUGAAGAGCCCUCAGGACUAAGGCCAAACGUUCCCUCCUGCCUGAUCUUCCCACUGAGAUGAAUCAUCUGUCACCACUGCUGGUGGCCAUAUAGAUCACCUCCUAAAUUGAGG